AGUGUUGUUUUAAUUUUAAAAUUUGAGUAUAGUUGACACACAAUGUGACAUUAGUUUCAGGUGUAUGACGCAGUGAUUCAAAAUCUCUAUACCUUAUGCUGUGCUCACCCUGCCUCCAACACUAUUAUAUCAACUACAUUCCCUGUGGUGUGCCUUCUGUCCCCAUGACUCAUUCAUUCCUCAACUGGGAGCCUGUACCUCCCACUCCCCUUCACCCAUUUGGCCCAUCCCCCAACCCCUUCCUCACUGGCAAUCAAUGGUUCUCUGUAUUUACAGGUCUGAUUCUGCUUUUUUGUUUGUUUAUUCCUUUGUUUUGUUUUGUUUUUAUUCCACAUAUGAGUAAAGUCAUAGGGUCUUGUCUUUCUCAGCCUUACUUAUUACACUUAGCAUAAUAGAUUAGACAUUAAUAAGUCAGGCUAAGAUAAAGAAGUUGUUUUUAUUUUUUAUUUUAUUUUUUAAGAAGUUGUUUUCAUUUAUGAUUUGUUUGCCAUACUUAGAUGCUGUGAAGUAGAUGUUUCUAUUAAUCCUAUUCCAAAACAAAAUAUUAAUUUGCGCAAUUAUAAGUGGGAAUUUCAUACAAAGAGUUUUCUCAAACUCUUUGAGAUGCUUCUAAUGAAAUCAUGCAUGGUUGGAGCUCUCAUCAUGUAAUUUGCUUAGUUUUUGUUGGAACAAAUUUCAAUGUCUUACUGUUUGCAAGCUUUGUUUUCAAUCAUUGCAAUUCAAAUUAAAAGCUGCAAUACCUAAAGCUGCUGGUGCUCCAUUCAUCAAAUAUCUUAAUCAAAAAUCUCCAACUUUAUUCAUUUCCCAUGGCUAAUGUGACAAAUUACUGCACAUUUGGUGGUUUAUGACACAGAAAUUUAGUUCUAAUUGCCUAAAGUCUGAAAUCCAUCUCACUAGCCAAAGUCAGUGUCUAUGGCCACACCCCGCCUGAGACUCCUGGGGAGAAUCCCUUCUUGCCUCAGCCUCUGGUGGUUGUCAGCAAUCCUUGGACUGUGUCUGUAUCAUGCCCUUCUCUGAUCUCACACUCACUUGGCUUCCUCUUCUGCUUGUGUCAAAUUUCCCUCUUUCUCUUUUAUAAGAAUGGAGGGUCUACCUUUAGGGUUCACCCCGAUAAUCUAGGACAAACUGACCACCCAAAGAUCCUUUACUUAAUUACAUCUACAAAGUCCUUUUUUACUGUGUGAAGUAACAUUCACAGGAUCUAGAAAUUAGGACCCAGACAUCCUUGCAGCCAUUAUUCAUGAUACUAAGCCAAAUAAUGUUGAACAACAUGCAAUUGCAAUUUAGAAGGUGCAUUUAUAAAAAAUUUAGUUCUGUUGUAUGUCACUUAGGAUGAUUUAUGAAGUCAUUCUUUAAAAGCUUGAGGAAAUGUGUGCACCACCAGUUUAAAUUAUUUUCAACAUAAGCUUCAUUGAUUUUUUUUAAGUAAAUAUGUAACAUUUAUAUAUUUUGGUAAAGACAUCUUCUAUUUCAAUUGGAAGAAUACCACAGCUUGUUUGAAUUGUGUUUAGACCUCAAACAGUUCUAAACACACUUUUGCUUUACUGGUUUCUUAAUUUAGUGAAAUCAUUGUUUUUGCCACCACACUGUCUUCCACCAAAAUAAGUAUCUGUAUCACAAGAUCAAUGUUGAACUUUUUAAAAGAUUUUAUUUAUUUAAUUGAGAGACAGAGAAAGCUGGGGGGUGGGGAGCAGAGGGAGAGGGAAGGAAUUUCAAGCAGACGCCAUGCUGAGCAUGGAGCCCCACGUGGGGCUUGUUCCCAAGACCCUGAAAUCAUGACCUGAGCUAAAGCCAAGAGUCAGAUGCUCAACCAACUGAACACCCAGGUGCCCCUCAAUGUUGAACUUUUUAAUAGCAUUUACAAUAAUAUUCAUGAUACUGUUUCACCUCUAACACACCAACAAAAAUAGUUUUCAAUCAUUAUUGGAGAUAAUGGACUUCCUGUUUGGAACAAUUAGUGAAUGAUAUAAAGAAGGCACCAUGUAACUCUUUGAUUAAUGAACCCAACUUUGUGGCUUCACUUUUUUUUAAGACUUUAUUUUUCUUUGAAUAGUGUUAGGUUCACAGCAACAUGAGAGGAAAGUAUGGAGAUUUUCCAUUUACCCCCCACUCCCACCCAUGCACAGCCUCCCCCAUAUCGCUGUCUCAUACCAGAUGGUACAUCUGUGCCAAUGAUGACCCUACAAGGACACACUAUUAUAACCGAGAGUCCAUAAUUUACAUUAG
This 2226-nucleotide long non-coding RNA is filed under the name Canis lupus familiaris (dog). Its description in RNAcentral is "lncRNA (ENSCAFG00000055577.1)". The record is from RNAcentral. Lineage: Eukaryota; Metazoa; Chordata; Mammalia; Carnivora; Canidae.